GUCCCGAGCGCUUAAAGGGAGCCGCACGCGGGUUCGUUCGUUCUUUCGCUCGCGCCGCUGCUCGUCUUGUGUUUGGGCUGCGGAGGGGAGGAAGGAAACGAUGAGGCCUUGCAGGCGCCGAGGUUUGUUUCAUUUGCCACGUGGGGCCAGACCUGAAGUGGCAGGAGGGAGGAUGGAUCCUUAGCUGCCCUAAAGGGAGCUAAAGCUGUCCUCUUCCCAAGAGGAGCAUUCCUGAUUCCUGUAGCCCUGGCUUCAAAGAGGGUGAAAAGAAGCAACUGUUUGAUUUCUCCUCUGGGUGGCAGCAGGGUCAAGAACAGAGGGCAAUGGAUUUCCAAGAGCCUGGAAAAGCCAAAUGCUUCCCAACCAAGAGGUUAGUGGCUGGUGACUUGUCAACCACAUACAGCUCAAAAGCGGCCUCCCCAGCAUUUUCUUCAAGGCCUUCCCAGGUGCACCCCACCACCUCUCUCUCUUUGCAUAUGGCAUACCUGGCAGUGUGGCUGUGACUCCAAGAAAACAAGUAGAGGCUCAUUCCAAUCCAACUCAUCUUUGCAAAGUUUUGGGAACAGGGCAGAAGACAGAAACCUGUUUUGAAAAGUCUCUUCUGUAUGUGGCCACAAAUAUGUAUAAGCUGUGAGAGUGAAUAAAACUUAUUUUUGAAUGUA
This is a long non-coding RNA of Podarcis muralis (Common wall lizard), 662 nucleotides long. RefSeq lists it as uncharacterized. The record is from RefSeq and is a predicted model, not a curated record. NCBI's taxonomy places the organism in Eukaryota, Metazoa, Chordata, Lepidosauria, Squamata, Lacertidae.